UACGGGGGGGGCAAGCGUUGUUCGGAAUUACUGGGCGUAAAGGGCUCGUAGGCGGCCCUCUCAGUCGGAUGUGAAAUCCCCAGGCUUAACCUGGGAACGGCAUCCGAUACUGGAGGGCUUGAAUUCGGGAGAGGGAUGCAGAAUUCCAGGUGUAGCGGUGAAAUGCGCAGAUAUCAGGAAGAACACCAAUGGCGAAAGCAGCUCUCUGGGACGGUACUGACGCUGAGACGCGAAAGCGUGGGGAGCGAACAGG
This 253-nucleotide ribosomal RNA is filed under the name uncultured bacterium. Its description in RNAcentral is "partial 16S ribosomal RNA". It matches the Rfam family "Bacterial small subunit ribosomal RNA", at positions 524 to 776 of the family's 1533-position model. The record is from RNAcentral.